Molecule: unclassified non-coding RNA, 395 nt
Filed under: soil metagenome
Description: partial contains 5.8S ribosomal RNA, internal transcribed spacer 2, and large subunit ribosomal RNA
Rfam family: 5.8S ribosomal RNA (bases 1-120)
Source: RNAcentral
GAUGAAGAACGUAGCGAAAUGCGAUAAGUAAUGUGAAUUGCAGAUUUCAGUGAAUCAUCGAAUCUUUGAACGCAUCUUGCGCUCCUUGGUAUUCCGAGGAGCAUGCCUGUUUGAGUGUCAUUUUAACUUCUCAACCAUAUCGAAUUGUUUUUCGAGGUGGCUUGGACAUGGGGGUUUUUGCAGGCUUUAAUAAUGAAGUCGGCUCCUCUGAAAUGCAUUAGUGGUAUCUGAAGCAGAACUGCUACUAUUAGGUGUGAUAAUUAUCUAUGCCUCUUGGUAUACUGCAUGAACAGAUUGCGCUGCUUCCAACUUGUACACCCUUUGGUGUUUGACAAAUUUGACCUCAAAUCAGGUAGGACUACCCGCUGAACUUAAGCAUAUCAAUAAGCGGAGGA